UACGUAGGGUGCAAGCGUUGUCCGGAAUUAUUGGGCGUAAAGAGCUCGUAGGCGGUCUGUUGCGUCGGCUGGGAAAACCCGGGGCUCAACUCCGGGCCUGCAGCCGAUACGGGCAGACUAGAGUUCGGCAGGGGAGACUGGAAUUCCAGGUGUAGCGGUGAAAUGCGUAGAUAUCUGGAGGAAUACCGGUGGCGAAGGCGGCAUCCUGGACCGGCAUUGACGCUGAUGAGCGAAAGCUAGGGGAGCAAACAGG
This 253-nucleotide ribosomal RNA is filed under the name uncultured bacterium. RNAcentral's name for it is "partial 16S ribosomal RNA". It matches the Rfam family "Bacterial small subunit ribosomal RNA", at positions 524 to 776 of the family's 1533-position model. The record is from RNAcentral.